Molecule: ribosomal RNA, 849 nt
Filed under: uncultured Bacillus sp.
Lineage: Bacteria; Bacillati; Bacillota; Bacilli; Caryophanales; Bacillaceae
Description: bacterial SSU rRNA
Rfam family: Bacterial small subunit ribosomal RNA
Source: RNAcentral
UGCAGUCGAGCGAAUCUGAUGGGAGCUUGCUCCCUGAAGAUUAGCGGCGGACGGGUGAGUAACACGUGGGUAACCUGCCUGUAAGACUGGGAUAACUCCGGGAAACCGGGGCUAAUACCGGAUAACUUUUUCUUCCGCAUGGAGGAGAAAUAAAAGAUGGCUCCGGCUAUCACUUACAGAUGGACCCGCGGCGCAUUAGCUAGUUGGUGAGGUAACGGCUCACCAAGGCGACGAUGCGUAGCCGACUUGAGAGGGUGAUCGGCCACACUGGGACUGAGACACGGCCCAGACUCCUACGGGAGGCAGCAGUAGGGAAUCUUCCGCAAUGGACGAAAGUCUGACGGAGCAACGCCGCGUGAGUGAUGAAGGUUUUCGGAUCGUAAAACUCUGUUGUUAGGGAAGAACAAGUAUCGUUCAAAUAGGGCGGUACCUUGACGGUACCUAACCAGAAAGCCACGGCUAACUACGUGCCAGCAGCCGCGGUAAUACGUAGGUGGCAAGCGUUGUCCGGAAUUAUUGGGCGUAAAGCGCGCGCAGGCGGUUUCUUAAGUCUGAUGUGAAAGCCCACGGCUCAACCGUGGAGGGUCAUUGGAAACUGGGAGACUUGAGUGCAGAAGAGAAGAGCGGAAUUCCACGUGUAGCGGUGAAAUGCGUAGAGAUGUGGAGGAACACCAGUGGCGAAGGCGGCUCUUUGGUCUGUAACUGACGCUGAGGCGCGAAAGCGUGGGGAGCGAACAGGAUUAGAUACCCUGGUAGUCCACGCCGUAAACGAUGAGUGCUAAGUGUUAGAGGGUUUCCGCCCUUUAGUGCUGCAGCUAACGCAUUAAGCACUCCGCCUGGGGAGUACGG